GUGCGGUGUGGUUGACGUGUUUGCAAAUGGCCUCAAUGCUUGGCUCCUGCGUUUGUUUUCUCCUUCGUUCUUUUUCACCAUCACGUGGCUGUGUAGAUCGAUCGAAUCAACGUGCUUUGGAUAUAGCAAAAUGAGAAGGGUAAAAAGGAUAUACCGCUGGAAGACAGAUAAAUGCGCGAGAAUUGGAGAUUUAUCACACUCUUGGAACUCGAAGCGCAUUGUCGUUAGUUUCGAUAACUUAUCGACAGCGAUUGUUUCGAGUGAAGAAGAGACACGGCUGAUGAAAAUUAAAGGCUGACGGAAAGUGCUUCGGGCUUGGACGGGUUUUUUACAAUUUUUCCUCCCUUCCGUCUCCCUAAUCUUGUGGCAGUACGCAACUUAUAUAUGUUAGUUUCUUCCCGGAACCAAUAUUCGAUUCCUCUGGACACGCGAUGUUUUUUGUUUACGAAACUAGAGGCUCAUAAAGUUUUUUCCAGUCGGUAAGGUAGGCGAAGGAUCGAGAAUUGAAAGUUCGAAUGGGAAGUUUGUACGAGGGGACACGAGAACCGAAAAAGACACCCGCGAGCGAGAUCAAUACCUCGCCGGUGCAAUGUACUCCCGCGGUCUCCUCGUUGCAGCUCGAUUGAUUGUUCGCGAACGAAAAACGAGUGGCGAACGGAAAAAGCGAACCGGAAGUGAAAACCAUCUAUAUGAGUAAAGAAGAAGCUGUACUUUUAAUCAAACUUUAACACACGAGCUAUGUGUGCAAUUAAUUUGGAGAGUGGAGAAUAAAGAGAAAGGAGGAAACUUAAAUGUAAUUAAGAUCACUUUAGUAGUUGGUAAAACAUUUGGUUCGUGGCAGUGGAACCGAAAGUAAUAAUGUUUCUUAUCGUAUCGUGGAAAAAGAGAAUGUAGCCAAGUUGGCGGCUUUUUCCAAAUUGAAUCGAAGCAAACGGUGAGAACGCUAGGAAGGGAAGACGGAAACGGAAACUAGUUCCGGCCAAGAUCAAUACCUAAGUUGUGCAACAGACUGUCUGGCGCAAGCCUUGUUCCUUGCUUGCGUGUUCCCCGUGCGCGGCACGCAGCGUGCAACGCCUCGUUGCAACCGGUGCAACGUGCAAUGCCACGAUUUACUCGCGUCACGGACACACGCAUGGCUACUCUUAUCUAGCCGGCU
This is a long non-coding RNA of Bombus pyrosoma, 1156 nucleotides long. RefSeq lists it as uncharacterized. The transcript has 3 exons. Lineage: Eukaryota; Metazoa; Arthropoda; Insecta; Hymenoptera; Apidae. The record is from RefSeq and is a predicted model, not a curated record.